This is a long non-coding RNA of Prionailurus viverrinus (fishing cat), 576 nucleotides long. RefSeq lists it as uncharacterized. NCBI's taxonomy places the organism in Eukaryota, Metazoa, Chordata, Mammalia, Carnivora, Felidae. The record is from RefSeq and is a predicted model, not a curated record. The transcript has 4 exons.
AGAGCAGGGGUCUAGAAGGCUGUGAACUUCUCUCUUGCCCUGAUGUAUCGCCUGUUGGGAAGCUAAGCUUUAAAGGGGACAAGCACCGUCCAGAUGGCAGAAUGAAGAGAUGAGCUUGGAUGGUGAAGUCCCUGCCUCGUUCUGGACCGACGUGCUCAACAAGGCCUGGGCCACAUGGGGGAGGAGCCCUCUCACCUCGUUGUCACCACGGCCUUUGCCUUGACCUUGGAGCUUCCCGGGAGCUGCCCGUCUUCUCCUGGGGAAGAGUGACUUCCUCUGGCAUCCGGCUCACAACUACGCCCCGGGCGCAAGAAGGGGCUGACUUCCCACCUUCUCCUUCUAAAGGUGGCUUCUCACCUCAAAUGUACCUAACUCAGGUCCUCAGGCCUUGACUCAACACCGUGUCCCUUCCUGCUGGCCAUGCUCCUUCCCUCGGCUUCCCUUGGGCAGCCAAAGUGUGGGCUGCCUUGAUCUAAACCUGAAAGACGCAAAGGGUUUCACCAGAAGAUACGUGUCGGACACUCAACCCUUCAUUUAUGGUCUGUGUGACCUCAGCCUUGUGGAACCUCAGUUUCC